RNAcentral lists this long non-coding RNA (384 nucleotides) under Mytilus galloprovincialis (Mediterranean mussel). The record is from RNAcentral. Lineage: Eukaryota; Metazoa; Mollusca; Bivalvia; Mytilida; Mytilidae.
GUAGUAUUUUAUUGAUACUCUUUGUAACAACAAAUGUAUAUAUAAACUAUCAAAUCGUAAAAUUUAUUUCAAAGUUUUACAACAAUUUCACAUUAACAACCUCUCAUGUUAUUUUAUCUCUUUAAAUAUCAAUAUCAAGAAUAAUUUCUAAUAAACAAACUUGUUCAUAACCUCAUUUUUUUUCUUUAACUUCAGUUUACAUAAUGUUUGACUGCACUUAAUCUGGGGUUGCAACUCAAUCAGGCAAGUUUGACCGUAGAUAGUUUUGGCUGUCUUAUCAAAGACUUUUUUGUAAUUAGAUUUUUAUGUAUCAGAUCAUAAACAUUUUUUGAAGCAACUGCUUCCAAUGUAUACAUUACAGUAUCCUACUGGGAACCAAUAUCA